GUAUGUGAAUCGACUCCCCGUUUCUUGUUUUCUUGUGUCCUACGGCGUCUCUUUUCUCUUUUUUUUCCACAAAACAGUUCUGGUUUUUCCCCAAAAAAUUAUUAUAAAUUCUAUCUUCGAGAAGAUCUGCGGACGAAAAUAUGUGGAAAAAUUGGAGGGAGGCGAGGCCGCGAGAAAUCGUCUACGUCGGCUCCAAGAACGCCUCCCAAGUCAUCUACAGGAUCUCUCGCCCCGUCGCCGAUGAUCCUGGCCAGUUUAUUCCUGCUAUAUAAGGACAAUGUCCAGAUGGGCAGCAGAAGUUGUUACCUUCAGCCUAUAAGCUGCAAACAUUUGACUGCUAUGCACAGACAGGACUUGGUCAUGGCUCAAACGUUCAAGGCUUUGAAACAACUACAAAAUAUGAUCUCAAGUCUGAUGACUUUAUCAUUUACGCCUUUACUCUUAUAUAUAGAAAAGGCAGAUGUCGUUUAGAGAGGAGCAGGAUUAGAGAUUACCUGCUGGUUGUACCGCUCCAUAGUAUAAUGUAGAUAGAGGUUUAUACAUUUUGGUGUAAUGUAAACCUUCUGUUGUACAUAGUGUAUAGUUACAGUCAUAGAUCCUAUUGUGGAUAUGGGUUGACUAUGGAUGGAUUGGGAAGCAGGUAUAAAUAUAUAUAUAUGUACAGAUCAGUUGUGUGCCUGUGAUGAUGUAUUGCGAUAUCUUGUCUAGGUUUAUAUUGUAGCAGGUUACAUGUGCUGCUUUGAUAGGUGGGGUUGUGUAUGUAUUGUUAUAUCCUGACAGGUUAUUAUAGGAAGAGUGAUCAUUUUGUGCAUGCCUCAUGCCAAAAUGUUUCAGAAAUUUGUUGAUAUUUGUGAUAGGUUAGUAGGGUUCUACGCGGUGGCUGGUGGCCUUAUGCCUACCAGUACCCUAGGAUCGUCGCGGCGGCCCGCCGGAUCAGGGCGGGGGUCGUGACAAGUGGUAUUCGACAAUUUGAUUUUGUGUGAAUACCAAGAGUGCUGAUGAGUAGUGCUGCAAAUGAUUUGAGCUUCUCUUGGGCAGCUCGGGCUCAUCUAAGCCCAGGCUCAGGUCAGCUAGAAAAUGAGCUGAGCUCAAAUACUUUUUGGAGCUUUUGGAGCUCGGCUCAUAAUGAGCCAAGAUUGAACAUGAGCCAGUUGCAGAAAUAAUGGAUAAGCUUGGAUCAGCUCAAUAAAACCUCGAUGCAGUGCUUAAAUCAGCCAAGCUUCAAAAGCUGAAGUCAAGCUCAACUUGAGCACGAGCUGAGUUUCUGAAGGUCAUAUAUAUAGCAAGCAGAGCUCGAGGGGCCUGCUAUUCAGCUUGGUUUGGCUUGUUUACACCCUUACUGGUGAGGGCUGUUCUAUCUUUCUUCACUUUUUCUGCUUGUGAUACCCUAGCUCAUCCUUAUUGUGUUGCAUCUAAGUGAUAGACUGAUAACUAUGUAAACUAUAUCUGGCAAUGCGGUUUCUUUGAUGCUCUAUCAGUUUUUUCUCCUUCCAAUAAUCACAGGAAACAUGAGUUCUUUGAUGAAUGGCCUAAUAAUAAGUUACACAGACAAAGGUUGAAUGGGGUUUGUCUUUUACUGGAACCCUCUUUACUUCCCUCUCUAAACAAACUUGUUAUAGACGUUGGUUGAACAUAUAUCAUCCCUUAUGUUGUAUGUAAGAAGGACAUGAUUCAUAACAAUUUCUUUCAUCGCACAUUUAUAGGGAUUAAAUGACAGGACUUUGAUUACUUUAGGUCUAAAUUGGUUAGUGACAUGGUCAACUAGAAAAUUCACUCACCACUUGGGAUAUAGACUUAAUUGAUCUCUUGGGAAACUGUUUUACAUAUUGGCUGGAACUUUAGGAGUCCAAAAAAUGAAAGGAAAAGAAUAAUGUCUUUAAGAAUAUUAAUCUAUUGGUGGGAUGAUAUCUAUCAUUAAUUUAAGAGUUAUGACAAAACUGAUGAUAGUUUGGAACAAGGUUUGCCGUACCGGUCGGUGCGUACUGACACUUGGUACGCCGAACCACCCCCUAUUACAAGCGUACUGACACUGCAAUAGGAUGGAACCAGUAUGGGGACUAGUACUGAGAUGGCAAACCUUGGUAUGAAACAUGACUUCUUUAGGAAGACAAACUUUCUGCGUGUGGCUUCAAUACAUUCCUGUAAUGUGGGAUAGAUCGUCAAUAAUGGCUUCAGAUAAAGGUUCAAUUUUGACUGCUUAAGCUGUUAAGGCAUGAAAUAUAUGCAUAUUUAUGAUUUUAAUUUUGAUGUUAUUUCUCUCUUGGGGUCAUCAAACUAUGGGUAUUAAGUGAUGCUCAGACUCUGCCUGGCUUUAGGCAGUAAAUAAUUUCGAUAACUUAGUGUGGUCCAUCUUUGUUGACAAUAACUUAACUAUGAUCAUGUGGUUUUCUUCUAAGGCAAGCAACUUUGGUAACUUAUGAAUGAUGCAAGGACAUGAAUCCAACUAAGAAAGAACUUCCGUUGUAAGGACAUAAACCUGACAGAUGAAGAAUUUCCUGUGCAGAGCUCAUUAUGUCGAGGUUGAUUCUGUUGUCAACAAUAUUCUUGUUGAGAGAAACAAUGAGAGAAAAUUUAUGAUUUAGACAUGCUAUCACUCUAUUGACAAAAGAAGACAUCUUGUUUUUAUGUAUACAGUGAUGAGGAAGCUCCAGCUGAUCUGUUAAAAGAAUGAGGAUUCAUGAUCACCUUAGGAAAGAUGGAUAUGCUGCAAACGCAGAAAAUUGUGUUGGUUAUCAUCUCAACUAAGGAACACGAUGAUUUAGCAAGGAUCAUCUUACACAAAGAUGGAAAUUGGAUUAGUAUAAAAAUAUAUUGAUAUUAUUGCGAAUUAUGGAGAGGUGGCUUAGUUGCUAGCUGCUCUAGAGUUUAACAAAAAGAAAAAGAACUUUAGUUCUGUAAGAUAUGCAGUAUACUGAGCUUUUAUCUUGAUCAUUUGCUGCUAUGUGCUGCAAGUUUCGAUUCCUUAUGGUAUAACUUUUUUCUCCAUGUUGAUGUGGCCAAGUCAACUAACUUCUACUCUAACUACUUCCCCUGUUAUUUAUAUCUUUAAAUUAUUUCUGCUGGGCUGAAUAGAUAAUUCUGUGUAGGAUCCAUGAGUACCAGAAACAGUAGACAGUUUAAACUGUUUCACAUUAUACAGUGAGAUGGACCGUGCAAGGAUGGACCGUGCAAUGGUUGUGUCUGAUGUAUAAUAUAGGAAAAUGACCAACUAAGGACUCUUGAGUAGGGAGUCUUCAUUACUAUGUGCCAUGGUGUGCAGGUGGGCGGGCAUUUUGGGUGGGGGUUAGAUAAAAGAAAAUUUCGUAAUGCUAGGAACUCUAUAGACACACACACACAAACAAAAAGAAAGGCAAAAAAAAAAAAAAAUCAGAAGAUCUACUUGCGAGAAACACAGAACACUUGUUAGAUCUACCUGCCAGGGCCAGAAAGCAAGUGAAAGAUCUAGCUGCAUAAUUAGUGCUGCAAUAUUGACACUUACCAAUAUUUGUUAUGAGAAUAGCAUGGCAUUUCUAUGAAGCAAUUAAGCAGUUGGAAUGUAAGAAUUUUUAAACAGGAACUUAUCUGCCUCAUGAAUAUGUCUGGACCUUAUUUAAGUGGUAAUGAUGAAUAUCUUCUAUGAAAAAUAAAACCGUACAGAAACUUCAGGAGCUUCAAAUUCAUCCCUGAGUGCGCUGAGUGCUUAGCACUGAAUUAAUAAGGGGUCGAGAGCAGCCAGCCCUAGAGGUACCACACUAACAGUUCAGAGCAUGCCAUCUGGCGUAAGCAUCUGGAUAAUCUGGAAUGCGACGUUUUCUAACAAUCUGAAGAAGAUGGGACAGCAAGAAAUUGCUGAUAAUGGGUCUAUCUGCUUAUUUCAGAGUACACAGAAGUACUGCUUUCAAGACUGAGGAAGGUAUUUGGCAACGUGAUCAUUUUAAAAUAGUGCACUUUUGGUGAAAGACAUGUCUAGACUGAUGAUAAUUUUGAAGCAGGGCAAUUUUUGUAUUGGUUUUUAUGAUAUUUAACAGGAUUUUUUGCUGUAUACACUUAAUAUAUAUCGAGUUAGAUGCAAACCUAUCUGUAUGCCCCACUUUAUGAAACAUAUUAGCUAAUUGAUUACGGUCUUAUUCUACAGAUUUCAUAAAUUCAUGUUUUUCUGAAAAAUGGUGGACAUGGAUGUAUUUCUGUACUAUUAAUAGCACCAUUCAGUUGCAAGAUAUUGUGCUUUUGAUCUUUUGGUGAAGAAUGGUAUUUUGUGGGGCAAGAGGGUUUUUCGCUGUUUAAUAUUAAUGUGUAACAAGUAGGCAUAAGCCUACUCACACUCAAUUUUGAGAAAGCAUUUGAUCAGGUGUAUUGUGGUCUUAUGCUAGUGAUUUCACAAUUGAUGUUUUCUGAAAAAUGGUAUCGCUGCCGGCAUAAUUCAGUUUCAAGAUAUUCUUCUUUUGAUCUAUUGGUGCAGAAGGUCUAUGGUAGUGCAAGUUUCUUCUUUUCGCUGGCUCAUGAAAGCUUACUCAUAUGCCUUCUUUUUUGUUUUUUUUUUUGGUUUGAUAGAAGGGCCUGUCGGCAAUGAGCUACACAAUGGGGGUAGCCUCCCCAAAUACACCUAGUCCCAUGAAAAUGUUGUUGAUUGUUUUUUUAUGUGAUGCAACCGAACCUCAGAUUCGCUCAACCUUAAAUUUAUGUUGGACCAUUUUGACAUGCCUUGGGUCUGUCAAUUAUCUGAAGCCUUUUCAAAUGUGCAUGAAUCCAAAAUCAAGCUAGUCAAGAGGUGAGCCAGGAGUUUAGAGAACUUUCUGGCAAAAUAUCCAGACCUCCAGCUCACUUAUAAGAAGCUGAAGGAGGAAACUAGAUUCCCUUGACAGGGAAGUUUGACAGAAGCUCAGCUGAUUAAAAAGCAAAAAAUUUACACAUUUGCUAUUUAAUUCUAUCUGAAGUCUCUGAAUUAAGUCUUUUGGAAGCAAUGCUUUCUGAAUGAGGAAAAGUAUGCAAAUAGAGAAAUGUUUGGAGGAAAGGGUGAGGUACAUCUUAUCGGCUUUCAAGUGCACAAGAUGGGAGCAUGAGGUAUAUCAACUAGGAAAUAUGAGGUAUAUGAAUUUUACUGAAUCACCAGAUUCUCUUGAAAUAAUGCAUUUUUAGGCAUAUAUUAUCACCCUGUAUGUUAUAGUUUUGUGAUCCUGCAAUGAUCUCUUCAUGUCUUUGACGGUUAGUCAAUGAGAUCUAAUUGGAAUUCCAGCAGAGAUAUAUCAUUGAAAUGCUACAAAGUUAUAAUCAUGUGCCUCCAUUAUGCGUGCAAAGCUAUUACAAUGAACCUUGGAAGACUACUGGCUUUGAUGCCAUAUAAGUUUGCAGCAGACAGCUCACACAUAACAUAUGAGAAACUAUAUUCAGGAGCAUUGAUGUAAUAUUCACAUGAUACAAGUGUAUGCAGUCUGUCUGUAUUGCAUACAUAUAAUUCUCUAUUUUCAAAAGAAAAAUGUUUUUGUUUGUCGCCUUGUGUAAUUCCAUGUUGUAACUGAAUUAAAGUUUUAAUUGCAGAAUGUAAUUGAAGAGCGCUGAAAACUUUCUUGUGGUCACGGAUGUCUACGUAGCAGUGGCCUUCCUGAGUUAUUUGCUGUAUAUUCUAGUGCCAGCACAUAUAAAGGAGGCAAUGUUCUUUUGCUUCUGCAGGAUUAAAGAAGACACUUCAGCUUAUUCUUGCUGCAAAUGCGCUGCAUGACCCACAAUUCAUAAAAGAUGCUCUUCACAACCAAGUUCUACGAUCUUCAUGCAGUGUGACAAGUUCCUAACAUUCUCUACUAAAGGUUUCCUGAGAAGUUGCAACAGGACAUUCAAGGACAGGGGAUCCAAGAUCAGCUUCAAAGCCUUUGCAAUUUAUGCGUGCGGCAAUCCAAGAAAGAUGCAUUAGCAAAUGGGCAGCUUAGAGCUCCAUAUUUCCAGAUCUUUCCUAGUGCUGGAGUUCUUGUUCACACAUUUAAUUAGACCAACCAUCACCUGGGCUCUGUCCUUGCCUUCUUGGCCGCUAUGAUGGGAAUGUUCAUCCUGUCUAUGAAAGAGCAUUGGAGGAACCGCUAAAUGGAUUGGUUUUGCCUGAAGGGUACCAUGAAUACAUGUAGCCUGUUCCUAAUCCAAGACUAUGAAUGUGAAGACGUGGUUAACAAGUAUACAAGUGUAGCGUCAAUCAACACUAGGAGUUAAUCAUAUAGUGAAAAAAAUCAUAUAUGCACAUACACUAGGUGCCAUUGGAAAUUUUUUAAUGAUAAACCGUUGCAAGCAUAAUGUGCCACAGAUGCCACAUUCAGCUAACCUUGGAAAGGAAGAUAUAGUGCGACCUUUUCAUUCAUAAGGAGUGGAGAUGGGAUACUGUGAUGAUCAUGCAGCUUUUCGGGCCUCAGUUGGUGGGGAGGAUUUUAGCUAUGCCGGUUUCUAGAGGAGGAGGAUCUGAUAGAAGAACCUGGAGUAUGAUUUACAGAUCCAAAGUGUGGGCUGCUGAUUUAAGUGAGCUUUAUAGAGUUGAGGCUUCCCGAUCAAUGGAUGAUGCUUGGCUGUGAAAGCUUCGUGUUCACCCCAGGAGGGUCUUGAGUAGACGGAGAGUGGGACUCUAUCCCUAUUGUGAUGUGUGUCUGGAUAUAAUGGAGUCUAAUGAGCAUGUCCUUUUCCAUCGCCCGAGAGCAGUUUAGGUGUGGCAACAGGUUGGUUUUGAACAAUGCUUCCUGCAGUCCUCGAGCUCGGUGGCAGCCUUCCUUAAGUAUUUAAAAGGUUCAUUUAUGAGAACCUCCACUAAUAGCGGGGGUGCCAAGUCUGCUUACACUACUUAUCAUAUAUGGCUGGACGGGAACUCCAAAAUUUUUGAGGAGCGGUAUCAGAAUAAUAGGGAGGUAGCUGAUAGUGCGUUCCUCUAUGUCGAUGACUUCUUAUUUGCGCGGCUUUUUGGAGGACAUGAGAUUGUGAGGGACUGAGCUUCCCACAUAGCUGUUGGAGUACCUUGGAUAAUAUUCGUCGCUUAGGAGGCCCCAUCCCCAAGCUUUCUCAAAGUAAACUUUAACGGCAGCAUGUCUGAUGACGGGAGGAGAGAAAAUGGUUGGUUUUGUGAUCAGAGAUGCUGAUUCUAGAUUGGUCGCUGCUAAAUGUUGUUGGCUCUAUGACACCUUCGUUUCUGGAACUGAGCUCAGAGCUGCUUGAGAGGAUUACCUACGUGCGACUCAUUUUGAGGGCGGAUCGGGCUCACCUGAAAAGGGACUUGGCGACAGUGAUUGGGGAGAUCUAGUGCUAUACUAGAUUUAACAAUGAGCACCCAUUGUUGCAGGACAUCCACAACCUAUUGAGAGAAUGUGUGGCUACCCAGGUCAUCCAUGUAUAUCUCGAGGGGAACGAAGUUGCUGAUUGGAUUGCAUCGUUUGUUGCACAACACUCUGGUCCCUGAAGUUGUAAUAGCUAUGAAACUCCACCUCUCCUCCUCCACCACCACCUCUUUUUUUGCUUUCUUGGAUGUAUUCAUAGUAGGACAGUGUGAUAUAUCCGGUUUAUCAAAAAAAAUAAAGAAAGAUAUAGUAGACAGCUUACAACAAACUGGUAAUGAUAUGGAUGAGGUAAUUGAAUACUACAUUGAUAUCAUCUGUGAUCUAAUUAUUCAA
This is a non-coding RNA of Phoenix dactylifera (date palm), 7610 nucleotides long. The record is from RefSeq and is a predicted model, not a curated record. NCBI's taxonomy places the organism in Eukaryota, Viridiplantae, Streptophyta, Magnoliopsida, Arecales, Arecaceae.